GUUAUCCAAAUCAUUUAUAUAUUUCUUUCUUUCUCUUAUUUUCUCACAUGAUGUCAGAAUCUCUAUGAUCAUAGUAGAGGCUAAGUAACUUUCAAGGUUUCACUUAUUGGUUGGUCGUUCGACAAAUGUGUUUCUUUUUUCACUCUCCUUAUAUCUUUCGGCGUCUGCUUUGAGUAUCUAAAUAUUCAUCGAUAGCGAACUCUUUUUUCUUGUACAAAAUACAUACUCCAUAUUUUAAUUCUGGAAUUGUACUAAAUUACUAAAUUGAAUUGGAUUUGUGAGAAGGCACGGGAGAAGAAUAUAUUAU
Molecule: long non-coding RNA, 307 nt
Filed under: Nicotiana benthamiana
Lineage: Eukaryota; Viridiplantae; Streptophyta; Magnoliopsida; Solanales; Solanaceae
Description: long non-coding RNA (NBEN_LNC038707)
Source: RNAcentral